Non-coding RNA from Vicugna pacos (alpaca), 665 nucleotides. The record is from RefSeq and is a predicted model, not a curated record. NCBI's taxonomy places the organism in Eukaryota, Metazoa, Chordata, Mammalia, Artiodactyla, Camelidae.
AGCACCUUUGGGAACAACAUUUAAGGAAAUGUGAGCACAAUGCAAAGUGUCUUUAAAAGCAUGUUGUGAUGUACACGUUUUGUAAUUACCUUUUUUGUUGUUGAUAUAGCAACCGUUUGUAGAACAUUCCAGAUAACUCCCCGUUCUGAAGAAGCGGUCUAAUCCCUUUCUCACUUUUGAAAGGUAACAUCUCAGCUUAAUGCAUCUUGCCCUCUCCAUAGAGGAGGGAAGAAAGGUACGGGCUUGCCUUACUGAGAGCCAAACAGCCCAGAGAAAGAUUCCAUUACAGGAAACCUCAUUGCUCUAUAAAAAGUACCCGCCAAACCAGAAAGGUGAUUCCAGGAGGAGCUAGCCAGAAAAAAAAAAAAAGGGCUGUUCAGGUUUUCAGCUUUACGGUAUCUUUGCGCAACUUUAUUUUUAUUUUUUUCAUCAGAAGUGACCAAACGAGAUGGUGAGACCUCUGUCUGAGACCAAAUCCUUGUUCCAUCUCUACCCUGUUCCCAGCUGCUCACAGGAUCAUCUGCCCCUUAUGUUGAGGUGACCACUUAUUUGCUAUUCUGCCUCCUUGAAAGACAAAAAAGAAAAUCAGUUUUGCCACUAAUUUAGCCAUAUGAAACAUCUCAUCACCCUUUCUAGGUCUGAAGCUGCUAAAUCGGAAGGGCGUC